GUGCCAGCCGCCGCGGUAAUACGUAGGUGGCAAGCGUUGUCCGGAAUUAUUGGGCGUAAAGCGCGCGCAGGUGGUUUCUUAAGUCUGAUGUGAAAGCCCACGGCUUAACCGUGGAGGGUCAUUGGAAACUGGGAGACUUGAGUGCAGAAGAGGAAAGUGGAAUUCCAAGUGUAGCGGUGAAAUGAGUAGAGAUGUCAAGAAACACAAGUGGCGAAGGCGACUUUCUGG
This 228-nucleotide ribosomal RNA is filed under the name uncultured bacterium. Its description in RNAcentral is "partial 16S rRNA". It matches the Rfam family "Bacterial small subunit ribosomal RNA", at positions 505 to 732 of the family's 1533-position model. The record is from RNAcentral.